GGCGCAGAGGGCCUGGCCGACCAGUCCGCUUGAGCCGGUUACGGCGAUCACCUGCGGUUCCAGCCCGGACUGCGCUGC
This 78-nucleotide transfer RNA is filed under the name Glutamicibacter nicotianae. Its description in RNAcentral is "tRNA-Ser". Lineage: Bacteria; Bacillati; Actinomycetota; Actinomycetes; Micrococcales; Micrococcaceae. The record is from RNAcentral.